RNAcentral lists this long non-coding RNA (1093 nucleotides) under Gopherus agassizii (Agassiz's desert tortoise). RNAcentral's name for it is "lncRNA (ENSGAGG00000018683.1)". The record is from RNAcentral. Lineage: Eukaryota; Metazoa; Chordata; Testudines; Testudinidae.
GAAAGAGAAGAGAUAAGGGAGGGAGGAGGGGAGCUUGAAGAAGUAAACACAAAGGGGAAAUGUGUGAUUAUGGGGGACUUCAACUUCCCGGAUAUAGACUGGAGGACGAGUGCUUGCAAGAAUAAUAGGGGUCAGAUUUUUCUGGAUGUGAUAGCGGAUGGAUUUCUUCAUCAAGUAGUUGAAGUACCUACGAGAGGGGAUGCCAUUUUAGAUUUGGUGUUGGUGAGCAGUGAGGACCUCGUAGAAGAAAUGGUGGUAGGGGACAACCUUGGUUCGAGUGAUCAUGAGCUGAUUCAGUUCAAACUAGAUGGAAGGAUAAACAAAUGUAGAUCUGGGAUUAGGGUUUUUGACUUCUCGAGGGCUAAUUUUAAAGAGUUAAGGAAAUUAGUUAGGGAAGUGGAUUGGACUGAGGAAUUAGUGGAUUUAAAUGCGGAGGAGGCCUGGAAUUACUUUAAGUCGCAGCUGCGGAGACUGUCGGAAGCCUGCAUCCCGAGAAAGGGGAAAAAAACCAUGGGCAGGAGUCGUAGGCCAAACUGGAUGAGCAAACAACUCAGAGAGGGGAUUAGACAAAAGCAGAAAGCUUACAGGGAGUGGAAGAAAGGCAGGAUCAGUAAGGAAAGCUACCUUGGUGAGGUCAGAACAUGUAGGGAUAAAGUGAGGAAGGCUAAAAGCCGCAUUGAACUGGACCUUGCAAAGGGAAUCAAAACCAAUAGUAAAAGGUUCUACAGCCACAUAAAUAAGAAGAAAACAAAGAAAGAAGAAGUGGGGCCGCUAUACACUGAGGAUGGAAUGGAGGUUAAGGAUAACCUAGGCAUGGCCCAACAUCUAAACAAGUACUUUGCUUCAGUUUUUAAUAAGACUAGUGAGGAACCUUGCGAUGAUGGAGGGAUGAUAAACGGGAAUGUGGAUAUGGAAGUGGAUAUUACCGCAACUGAGGUAGAGGCCGUACUUGAACAGCUCGAUGGGACGAAGUCGGAGGGCCCGGACAAUCUCCAUCCGAGGAUAUUAAAGGAACUGGCGCGUGAAAUUGCGAGCCCGUUAGCGAGAAUUUUUAAGCAAUCGAUAAACUCGGGGGUUGUGCCGUAUGACUGGA